This 1444-nucleotide ribosomal RNA is filed under the name human gut metagenome. RNAcentral's name for it is "bacterial LSU rRNA". It matches the Rfam family "Bacterial large subunit ribosomal RNA", at positions 523 to 1977 of the family's 2925-position model. The record is from RNAcentral.
ACCCCGAACAGGGGAGUGAAAUAGAACCUGAAACCAUACGCUUACAACCGGUCGGAGCGGCUUCGUGCCGUGACGGCGUGCCUAUUGAAUAAUGAGCCUACGAGUUACUAAUCACUGGCGAGGUUAAGUGCUAGGAAGCACGGAGCCGAAGCGAAAGCGAGUCUGAACAGGGCGGCUAGUCAGUGGUUGUAGACGCGAAACCUUGCGAUCUACCCUUGAGCAGGAUGAAGGUUGGGUAACACCAACUGGAGGUCCGAACGAAUAAGCGUUGAAAAGCUUCUCGAUGACUUGAGGGUAGGGGUGAAAGGCUAAUCAAGCUGGGAAAUAGCUCGUACUCCCCGAAAUGCCUUUAGGGGCAGCGUUGUAAUAAAGAGUCUACUGGAGGUAGAGCUACUGAUUGGAUGCGGGGGCUUCACCGCCUACCAAAUCCUGACAAACUCCGAAUGCCAGUAGUAUGAUUUACAGCAGUGAGCGGCCGGGUGCUAAUGUCCGGUCACAAAAGAGGAACAACUCAGACCAGCAACUAAGGUCCCCAAGAAUAUGCUAAGUUGAUCUAACGAUGUUUUGUUGCAGAGACAGCUAGGAUGUUAGCUUGGAAGCAGCUAUUCAUUCAAAGAGUGCGUAACAGCUCACUAGUCGAGCGACAGAGCGUGGAUAAUAAACGGGCAUCAAGCAUAUCACCGAAGUUCUGGACGCGAAAGCGUGGUAGGGGAGCAUUCCAUCGACGUUGAAGCCGAUUCGUGAGGAUUGGUGGAGUUUAUGGAAAAGCAAAUGUAGGCAUAAGUAACGAUAAUGCGGGAGAGUAACCCGCACACCGCAAGACCAAGGUUUCCUGAUCAACGCUAAUCGGAUCAGGGUUAGUCGGGUCCUAAGGGUAAGCCGAACGGUGAUCUCGAUGGACAAUCGGUUAAUAUUCCGAUACUAACAUACACCUCGAUGGAGAGACGAAGGAACGUAAGUGUCGCCGCCUGACGGAAUAGGUGGUUAAAGGGCGUAGGUAAAGGAGCAGAUUAAGAGUUAGCUCCUGCUGAAACCCGACAGUACGGAGCGGCUACGGCCAAUCCGAUAGUGCACCCAAGUAGACUUCCGAGAAAAUCUUCUAAGUUAUAGUGUAUGUUACCCGUACCGUAAACCGACACAGGUGGUCGAGGAGAGUAUCCUAAGGUGCUCGAGUGAAUCACGGUUAAGGAACUAGGCAAAUUAACCCCGUAACUUCGGGAAAAGGGGUCCCUAUGAAAGUAGGGCGCAGCGAAAAGGUCCAGGCGACUGUUUAUCAAAAACACAGGGCUCUGCAAAUUCGAAAGAAGACGUAUAGGGCCUGACACCUGCCCGGUGCUGGAAGGUUAAGAGGAGAUGUCAUCGCAAGAGAAGCAUUGAAUUGAAGCCCCAGUAAACGGCGGCCGUAACUAUAACGGUCCUAAGGUAGCGAAAUUCCUUGUCGGGU